This 264-nucleotide ribosomal RNA is filed under the name uncultured Planctomycetota bacterium. RNAcentral describes it as "uncultured planctomycete partial 16S ribosomal RNA". It matches the Rfam family "Bacterial small subunit ribosomal RNA", at positions 565 to 827 of the family's 1533-position model. The record is from RNAcentral. Lineage: Bacteria; Pseudomonadati; Planctomycetota.
GAGCACGUAGGUGGGUUUGUGAGUCAGGUGUGAAAGCCUUCUGUUCAAAGGAAGAACGGCAUCUGAAACUGCAGAUCUUGAGUGUAGGAGGGGAGAGUGGAACUUCUGGUGGAGCGGUGAAAUGCGUAGAUAUCAGAAGGAACGUCGGCGGCGAAAGCGACUCUCUGGCCUAUUACUGACACUGAGUGUGCGAAAGUUAGGGGAGCAAACGGGAUUAGAUACCCCGGUAGUCCUAACCGUAAACGAUGGGCACUAAGUAGAGGG